GCAUUGUGUUUCAUUGCGCUGCGUUGUGUUGUGCUGUGCUGCGUUGUGUUGCCUUGCGUUGCGUUGUGUUGCAUUGCGCUGUGUUGUGUGCAGUCGGGUGCCGGCUCUGCUGCCACCGAUGGAUCAAAGAUCAAAGAGGCACGAGGAAACGACUGGAACGACUGGAAGACGGAGUCUGGAGGCAUUAAUGGAUAAAUCAUGGAUGAAGCGCUGAAACAAGCUAAUGCAAAGUACAGCACAUGAAAAAUGGAGAGCUUGGAAAGAAAGUGUGUGGAUUUUAAUAGUAAAGUCACUGCGAAAUUUAGAGACGAAUCGCUGAAAGGAGAGAAGUGAGCUUCGUUCUCACGUUUCCUGUUGGACUGAGACGUAAUAAUGUGCUGAAGCCGUUCAGUCAGCCUGUUUUACCCCGUGCCCCUUCCUCCACCAACACAGGCUCAUUUCACCCACAGACCUCCAAACUGGGACCAAACUGGGACCAAACUGGGACCAUGUGAAGCACUGGGUUUCUGUCACUUCAAGCGGAGCCUGUUUGAUCUGAGCAGCAGCCGAGGCUCCGUUACAGAACCCGACUUCAGUCCAGCCGACGCACGUGAACGAGGCGACGUUUGUCUGCGCUGCGUGUGUGUUUGUGUGUGUUUGUGUGCGUUUGUGUGUGUUUGUGUGUGUUUGUGUGCGUUUGUGUGUACGGCCCGUUGCGGGUCCGCGCUGGCAUUCUGCUGGUAUUUGCAGAGGUCAGGCAUAAUGAGCUCAGCCUGCUGAAGGCGGAGCACGCGUCCGGCGUGACGGUGUGAGUGAGCGGAUCUCCACCCGUGACGACGUCGCGUCGACGCUUUUCCAGUUCAGGUGCAAAGGUUUGAGUCGGGACCACGUUUGUCAGCGUCCAUCAACAGUGAUCCGGGGAGGAAUCCAUCACAGUCGCCAGUGGAGGAGAUCCACGGUGACAGAGGCUCCGAGUCCUGGGACAGACUCUCAUCAGAUCAGCAUCCAGAGCUUCUGCCUGGGUUCAGAUCUGGAUUUACUGUCUCCAACUCCAGCCGUGCACUGGGGCCACUUUAUUAGGGACACCUGUCAUUCACACAGACCUUUGGUUCGUCCUCACAUUAAACCAGAAGAAUCAUUCAGUACUGAGCGUCUGCCAGUCUCAUCGUCUCCAUUGAGUCCAAACACUGAUCAAGUCCAACAAACUGUGCAACCACCGCUCCGCUGCUGUUACUGAUGUACAAACAGCGCGCGUGCACGUGCGCGUGCACGUUGCAGACGGCCGGGGGCUCCAGCAGCCAGUGGCGGCGUCAGGAAGCAUCUCAUCAGGGACGGAGCAGAAGCAGAAGGAGGGAGUGGAGCAAACAGCAGCGCUUCAGUGGAGCCUCUGUUGGUGUCGCUUCGCUCCUCGCAGACGUCACCUUCAUGAGGUUCAAUACGCUGCCGCACGCCUUCUGUGCAGCGUUGUGCCAGUGCUCGGCUCUGUUUGCUGAGUGAGAGGCCGUGGACACACACUGUUUAAAAUUGUAAAUGUCUCCUGUUUGUUUCCAGUGAAGUAACAACAUGAGGCUCAGCUUCGUGCCCGUGGCCACGAUUUCAGUUUUUAGGGAAGUGAAGCAGAACACAGCGGAGCUCUUUGUGUGUGUGUGUGUGUGUGUGUGUGUGUGUGUGUGUGUGUGUGUGUGUGUGUGUGUGUGUGUGUGUGUGUGUGUGUGUGUGUGUGUGUGUGUGUGUGUGCGUGUGUGUGACCGAGCCCUUCAACUUUUUAACUUUGCACUGGGUCUAAGCAGCAGAGGGGGGGGCGAGGUGGUGCAACAACAGAGCUGAGAGGAUGAGACAGGAAGGUGGGGGAAGAGGCAGGAGACACAUGGCUCGGAGGCGGAGGGAGACAGAGCAGCGGGAGGCGAUGGAGGCCGGGAGGACGCGGGGUUAGUGGAUGCGGAGCGUCUGAGAGUAACGAGGGCUGAAGGAGAGAAGGAGGAAUGUUUCAUGGCUGCUUGUUUCUGGUCUCACCUUUGUCUCUGCACCUCCAGCUGAUGGAGCAGCGAUGCUCGCUGUACGUUUCUCCUCCAUUUAUUAUAAAUGGCGCCGCAGACGCUCACGCUCCCGUCGUCGGGGGCCGCGUGGGUGCGUCGUCCCACCGCUAACCGCUCCUGCAGCUUAUUACAGAGUCAGACAGUCACCGUAGCUGGCAGCUUUACAUUAUUCAGGCCGCGCCGACAUUAUAGGACAUCAAGACGUUAAGCGCUGCCACGAUCCUGUUGUUCAGACUGGAGACUCAGAGCCAGUUCAGUGCUGUUUGGUUCAGAACCGCGGCCUUUAGUCCGUUCUCUGUUCAUGCUCACGUCCGUUUGCCUCGUUUUCCAUGUGUCAUCCUUGUUUUCUCCUGCCGUCAGUCCCACUGUCAGUAUGUGUGUGUGUGUGUGUGUGUGUGUGUGUGUGUGUGUGUGUGUGUGUGUAGGUGUGUGUGUGUGUGUGUGUGUGUGUGUGUGUGUGUGUGUGUGUGUGUGUGUGUGUGUGGUGCAUUGGAACCCUGAGGGGACGUGUGUCCUUCCAACGAAAGGAGAAACGUGCGAUCCCGCGAUCAGGCACAAGGUAACGCACAAGACACAACUUCACGGGAGCGAAUCAAACGCACCUGUGUACAAACACACACUCCCUGGAGACGAGCACGCUAAGCUGUUGACUUGCACUGUCACACAAAGACAGAUGAAGGUGAUAAAGUGGCCGACAUCACCACCCGUCACUUUCUGUUUCCUGUCCACUCCUCCACACACACACACACACACACACACACACACACACACACACACACACACACACACACACACACACACACACACACACACACACACACAGGGUCACCUCAGUUCCUUUUCUCCUCUCACACCCUGAUGAGCUGCCAUUGAGCCUGAACUGGUUCAGGUCCCAUUUGUUGCUGAACUCAAAUGUUCAUUCUUGAUCUUCACUUUAAAAACACGACUGUGGUCCGCGUGUUUGUGCUGGAGUUGCCUCCGUAAACUUGGCUAUGCAACAUUAAUUUAGGCCAAACCCCGUCUAUGUAUUAUGCAUCACUCCAUUUCUUGUUCCACACAGAUUGAGCGUGAUGAACGAAGGAAAUACGACAGAAUUCAGUGCAUAGAGGAGCUGAGACCGGUUCAGAGACUGUGGAGGAGAAUGAGCUUCAGUGUGUUUGUGGCACAGUUGCAUGAGAAAAUGUUGGUAAAUGUUCAGCUGCUUCUCUCCUCUCUCUGUUCAGCCUUAAUAAAUGAUCCUAGCUGUGCUAAUAGGAGCGCAGCACAUAACUGAGCUUUGGGGAAAAAACGCGUCACUGUUGGUGUUAAACAGACAAACGCACAUCAGAUGCAGAUUCAGCGUCCGGGAGGAGGAGGUCGCGACCCUCCACUAAAUAAGCAGGAAAUCAUCACUUGUGACCUACUUGGAGUGAAACACCAGCCUCUGCUGAGCCGCGCUGAUAAAAAUAACUCCGAGGGAAACACGCAGACACGCUCCCGCUCCGCGCGCACACAGGCUCUGCAUCCGGACGCACGGCCGGCGUGUGGGCGUGCACGAGGCACGUGCACGAGGCCCGUGCACGCGCGUCAAGAAUGGCAGUGUCACCGUCUUAUUAUUGUGUCAGCUGUGGUUUGCGUCUCCUCCUCUGUUGUUUUCCCUCCUGACCCUGACGUUGUCUCAUCUCCACUCUCAACAAAACAGCCUCUUAGACCUAUUUACAUAGAGGUCUGCAGGAAACCCACCCGUACCCACAAACGGCUGGAGUGCAGAGUCGGCCAUCGCCUAGAGCUGGUUAGUGAGCUGUUUGAAGAGGCAAAUGAGCCGAUACAAAGGCCAGCGCUCCAACAAGGACGUGGAGUCAGAGAGAAGUCUCGCUGACGCUGCUCCUCCACCUUUCUCCCUCUCUCCAUCGCUCCUUUGUUCCACUGGUUUGUGCCUUUGGGGCGACGGAGACCUGCAGGACAGGAAGGAAAAGACGCUGGCUCCUUCACAAUAAAAGCACGGCACAGGUGAUACAUGAGACAGAUGGAAGGAUGCAAUAGUAGGAAGGAGACUUUUCUUUUGCUGGUGGGAAAUUAAAUUGCUCUGCGUGGAAAACAAUCCAACAACUAACCAGCAACAACAACAGCUACACUUCUUCAGGUUUACAGCAGUGAUAAAUGUCUCCAGAAUGAAUGGACGCUGAACUGAGUUGUGCUGCAGACGACACACUCUCAAAAUGCUGCAUUGAUGGUGGAACAGUCUACAAACACCGAUGGGAGAGAGGGAAUGAAGCGUAGAGGAGCUGAUCUGGAGGACGCCGGCGGUUCCUGUGCAGCUGAGUUGCAUCUGCAGCGCGGCCCGGUCCACACGCGGCCCGGUCCACACGCGGCCCACACGCGUCCGGCACCGGGCCACGUGCAGUUCGGUUCCUGGUUCCGGUUCCCGUCCACCCGCGGCCCGUCCAAAACGCAUUUGUUUGAAGCUGUGUGGAUCCGGUUCAUGCACACGCGCGCGCCCCAAGCUGCUUCGCUGCAGAUCGUGAUUCUCCCGGGAGUCAUCGCUGCAGAAGCUGCAAAUAUUGGAUCCAAACCUAAAGAGCUGCUGACGUACAGAUCAAAUGGAGCUGUCGCGUCUCAUCCAGGCAGAGGAA
This is a long non-coding RNA of Betta splendens (Siamese fighting fish), 4627 nucleotides long. RefSeq lists it as uncharacterized. Lineage: Eukaryota; Metazoa; Chordata; Actinopteri; Anabantiformes; Osphronemidae. The record is from RefSeq and is a predicted model, not a curated record. The transcript is spliced from 5 exons.